GACGAACGCUGGCGGCGUGCCUAACACAUGCAAGUCGAACGGGACUUAAUGGAAUGCGGCUUCGGCCAAAGGAAGUUAAGUUUAGUGGCGAACGGGUGAGUAACGCGUGAGAAACCUGCCUCUCAGUGGGGGACAACAGUUGGAAACGACUGCUAAUACCGCAUAACAUAUCCGGAGGGCAUCCUCUGGAUAUCAAAGCUUUAUGUGCUGAGAGAUGGUCUCGCGUCUGAUUAGCUAGUUGGUGAGGUAACGGCUCACCAAGGCGACGAUCAGUAGCCGGUCUGAGAGGAUGAACGGCCACAUUGGGACUGAGAUACGGCCCAGACUCCUACGGGAGGCAGCAGUGGGGAAUAUUGGGCAAUGGGGGAAACCCUGACCCAGCAACGCCGCGUGAAGGAAGAAGGCCUC
RNAcentral lists this ribosomal RNA (408 nucleotides) under uncultured bacterium. RNAcentral describes it as "bacterial SSU rRNA". It matches the Rfam family "Bacterial small subunit ribosomal RNA", at positions 28 to 418 of the family's 1533-position model. The record is from RNAcentral.